UGGGUGGGACUCUUGGAGAGUGCAAAGAAAAGUUUGACUUGAUACUCCCCAGUUUGCUACACCAGGAAAUCUCUGCUUCCUGUUCCAGCUCUGCAGCAGCAGAGCUCAUAGCCCUCUAGUUCUUUCCUGUGCUUGGCAGGCUGACUUGGCAGUGCAAAGGUCUGGAACUAAAGAAGAACAAGAUAUUUUCUAUCUUGGAGAAGAACUAAAAUAUGUUGGUCUCCAGCCUUCUCCUGGUGAUCCUGUCUUCACUGUGGCUGGGAUCUAGUAUUGCCCAGAAGGUAACUCAAGCCCAACCAACAAUAUUGGUGCAAGAGAAAGAACCUGUGACCCUGGACUGUACAUAUGAGGUCAGUGCUGUAAGUUACAGUCUCUACUGGUAUAAGCAGCCCAGCACUGGGGAGAUGAUCUUCCUUAUUCGUCAGGACUCCUACAGCCAGCACAAUACAACACAAGGCCGCUACUCACUGAACUUCCAGAAGGAAAGGAAAUCCAUCAGCCUUAUCAUCUCCACUUCACAGCUGGGAGACUCAGCUGUGUACUUCUGUGCACUGAAUGAUGACACUGUGAGAGGACUCUUGUAG
Ochotona curzoniae (black-lipped pika) is the source of this 584-nucleotide non-coding RNA. Lineage: Eukaryota; Metazoa; Chordata; Mammalia; Lagomorpha; Ochotonidae. The record is from the annotation of a RefSeq genome assembly.